This 73-nucleotide transfer RNA is filed under the name Canis lupus familiaris (dog). It matches the Rfam family "tRNA". From Rfam's summary of the family: Transfer RNA (tRNA) molecules are approximately 80 nucleotides in length. Their secondary structure includes four short double-helical elements and three loops (D, anti-codon, and T loops). Lineage: Eukaryota; Metazoa; Chordata; Mammalia; Carnivora; Canidae. The record is from Rfam by way of RNAcentral. RNAcentral also lists the same sequence under 1 other name.
GCCUGGCUGGCUCAGUUGGUAGAGCAUGUGACUCUUGAUCUAGGGUUUGUAAGUUCAAGCCCCAUGUUGGGCA